AGCAGAGUGGCGCAGCGGAAGCG
RNAcentral lists this non-coding RNA (23 nucleotides) under Xenopus tropicalis (tropical clawed frog). RNAcentral also lists the same sequence under 3 other names. The record is from RNAcentral. Lineage: Eukaryota; Metazoa; Chordata; Amphibia; Anura; Pipidae.